GCUGGGUGCUGUGGUGCAUUCCUGUAAUCCCAACAACCCAGAAGGCUGAGGCAGGAGGAUCACAAGUUCAAAGCCAGCCUCAGCCAAAGUGAGGCAUUAAGCAACUCAGUGAGACCCUGUCUCUA
This 125-nucleotide small RNA is filed under the name Marmota monax (woodchuck). The record is from RNAcentral. Lineage: Eukaryota; Metazoa; Chordata; Mammalia; Rodentia; Sciuridae.